Molecule: transfer RNA, 71 nt
Filed under: Ceratocystis platani
Lineage: Eukaryota; Fungi; Ascomycota; Sordariomycetes; Microascales; Ceratocystidaceae
Rfam family: tRNA
About the family: Transfer RNA (tRNA) molecules are approximately 80 nucleotides in length. Their secondary structure includes four short double-helical elements and three loops (D, anti-codon, and T loops).
Source: Rfam by way of RNAcentral
GCGGAUAUAGUUUAAUGGUAAAACCUUAGGUUGUGGUUCUAAAAACGUGGGUUCGAUUCCCUCUAUUCGCC